GUUUGAUCAUGGCUCAGAUUGAACGCUGGCGGCAGGCCUAACACAUGCAAGUCGAACGGUAACAGGAAGCAGCUUGCUGCUUCGCUGACGAGUGGCGGACGGGUGAGUAAUGUCUGGGAAACUGCCUGAUGGAGGGGGAUAACUACUGGAAACGGUAGCUAAUACCGCAUAACGUCGCAAGACCAAAGAGGGGGACCUUCGGGCCUCUUGCCAUCGGAUGUGCCCAGAUGGGAUUAGCUAGUAGGUGGGGUAACGGCUCACCUAGGCGACGAUCCCUAGCUGGUCUGAGAGGAUGACCAGCCACACUGGAACUGAGACACGGUCCAGACUCCUACGGGAGGCAGCAGUGGGGAAUAUUGCACAAUGGGCGCAAGCCUGAUGCAGCCAUGCCGCGUGUAUGAAGAAGGCCUUCGGGUUGUAAAGUACUUUCAGCGGGGAGGAAGGGAGUAAAGUUAAUACCUUUGCUCAUUGACGUUACCCGCAGAAGAAGCACCGGCUAACUCCGUGCCAGCAGCCGCGGUAAUACGGAGGGUGCAAGCGUUAAUCGGAAUUACUGGGCGUAAAGCGCACGCAGGCGGUUUGUUAAGUCAGAUGUGAAAUCCCCGGGCUCAACCUGGGAACUGCAUCUGAUACUGGCAAGCUUGAGUCUCGUAGAGGGGGGUAGAAUUCCAGGUGUAGCGGUGAAAUGCGUAGAGAUCUGGAGGAAUACCGGUGGCGAANGCGGCCCCCUGGACGAAGACUGACGCUCAGGUGCGAAAGCGUGGGGAGCAAACAGGAAUAGAUACCCUGGUAGUCCACGCCGUAAACGAUGUCGACUUGAAGUUGUGCCCCUGAGGCGUGGCUUCCGGAGCUAACGCGUUAAGUCGACCGCCUGGGGAGUACGGCCGCAAGGUUAAAACUCAAAUGAAUUGACGGGGGCCCGCACAAGCGGUGGAGCAUGUGGUUUAAUUCGAUGCAACGCGAAGAACCUUACCUGGUCUUGACAUCCACAGAACUUUCCAGAGAUGGAUUGGUGCCUUCGGGAACUGUGAGACAGGUGCUGCAUGGCUGUCGUCAGCUCGUGUUGUGAAAUGUUGGGUUAAGUCCCGCAACGAGCGCAACCCUUAUCCUUUGUUGCCAGCGGUCCGGCCGGGAACUCAAAGGAGACUGCCAGUGAUAAACUGGAGGAAGGUGGGGAUGACGUCAAGUCGUCAUGGCCCUUACGACCAGGGCUACACACGUGCUACAAUGGCGCAUACAAAGAGAAGCGACCUCGCGAGAGCAAGCGGACCUCAUAAAGUGCGUCGUAGUCCGGAUUGGAGUCUGCAACUCGACUCCAUGAAGUCGGAAUCGCUAGUAAUCGUGGAUCAGAAUGCCACGGUGAAUACGUUCCCGGGCCUUGUACACACCGCCCGUCACACCAUGGGAGUGGGUUGCAAAAGAAGUAGGUAGCUUAACCUUCGGGAGGGCGCUUACCACUUUGUGAUUCAUGACUGGGGUGAAGUCGUAACAAGGU
Molecule: ribosomal RNA, 1495 nt
Filed under: Escherichia coli
Lineage: Bacteria; Pseudomonadati; Pseudomonadota; Gammaproteobacteria; Enterobacterales; Enterobacteriaceae
Description: 16S ribosomal RNA
Rfam family: Bacterial small subunit ribosomal RNA
Source: RNAcentral